This 218-nucleotide ribosomal RNA is filed under the name uncultured Aspergillus. Its description in RNAcentral is "partial 28S ribosomal RNA". It matches the Rfam family "Eukaryotic large subunit ribosomal RNA", at positions 359 to 584 of the family's 3401-position model. Lineage: Eukaryota; Fungi; Ascomycota; Eurotiomycetes; Eurotiales; Aspergillaceae. The record is from RNAcentral.
GAAAGAUGAAAAGCACUUUGAAAAGAGAGUUAAACAGCACGUGAAAUUGUUGAAAGGGAAGCGCUUGCGACCAGACUCGGCCUCGGGGUUCAGCCAGCAUUCGUGCUGGUGUACUUCCCCGGGGCCGGGCCAGCGUCGGUUCGGGCGGCCGGUCAAAGGCCCCAGGAAUGUAUCGUCCUCCGGGACGUCUUAUAGCCUGGGGUGCAAUGCGGCCAGCC